AGUGAACGCUGGCGGUAGGCCUAACACAUGCAAGUCGAACGGCAGCACAGUAAGAGCUUGCUCUUACGGGUGGCGAGUGGCGGACGGGUGAGGAAUACAUCGGAAUCUACUUUUUCGUGGGGGAUAACGUAGGGAAACUUACGCUAAUACUGCAUACGACCUACGGGUGAAAGCAGGGGAUCUUCGGACCUUGCGCGAUUGAAUGAGCCGAUGUCGGAUUAGCUAGUUGGCGGGGUAAAGGCCCACCAAGGCGACGAUCCGUAGCUGGUCUGAGAGGAUGAUCAGCCACACUGGAACUGAGACACGGUCCAGACUACUACGGGAGGCAGCAGUGGGGAAUAGUGUACAAUGGGCGCAAGCCUGGUCCAGCCAUACCGCGUGGGUGAAGAAGGCCUGCGGGUUGUAAAGCCCUUUUGUUGGGAAAGAAAAGCAGCAGGUUAAUACCCCGCUGUUCUGACGGUACCCAAAGAAUAAGCACCGGCUAACUUCGUG
RNAcentral lists this ribosomal RNA (492 nucleotides) under uncultured bacterium. RNAcentral's name for it is "partial 16S ribosomal RNA". It matches the Rfam family "Bacterial small subunit ribosomal RNA", at positions 29 to 507 of the family's 1533-position model. The record is from RNAcentral.